Molecule: long non-coding RNA, 205 nt
Filed under: Mytilus galloprovincialis (Mediterranean mussel)
Lineage: Eukaryota; Metazoa; Mollusca; Bivalvia; Mytilida; Mytilidae
Source: RNAcentral
UUAAGGUGGUACCUAACACUACAGGGAGAUAACUCAGUAAAGUCAGCUAAACGUUUUAAUUACGUUGUGUUGUAGAAGGAAUAUGAAGCUUCUCAAUGAUUAAAAUUGGGGUUCGUCAAACUGCUAUAUAACCAGUGUAAUUUUUCUGACCAAACGGUUGGUUCAAAAUUUUUGAAAUUUUUAUAUUUUUGUUAAAGGGUCAAAG